UGUCUUCUUUGUACGGCAUAUUACUUCAUAUUGCUUGUUGAUAACCCUAGAAAGCAUCAUCGACUCGUACAAUGCUGAUUAAUGUUGUGUUUUGUAGAUUUUGGUAGUACUAGUGCAAUGCUGCUAGUUGGCUAGGAGUCGAUAAUGGUUAUUAAUCGACAAUUUCAACUGGUCUAUGAUAUCAUAAUCAUAUUAAUUUCUAGUAACCUACUUCUGGUUAUGAUUAUUUGAUUAUUUCUUUUUCUGGAAUAGAUCCUAGAGGCAAACCACAUAUACAUUAUACAGUUUAGGAUCAAUUUCUGAAAACAACACCUGCAGAUGGCAAUAACCAUACUACAAUUCUUGAAUUCUUGAUUUCAUAAAAAUUGCUCUAUUAUACUUCACACAAUACAGACACAUACAUUACUGAUGUUUUUUGAAGAUUUAGCUUUGAAAUUAUAUCCACUAACCCGUUUUUCAUUGGUGUGGUGUCCUAUUUUAGAAUAUGAAGAAAUCCAAAUUCCAAUAUAAUAAAACAGAAAGUAAAUUUACUAUUUACCUGCGUUCUUUUAAUGACACUAAAUCCUUGAACAACUGAAGUUCAGUUGAGUGUAAUUCCAUGAGAAGAGCUUGUUUUUUAGUGGCAUUUCCCAAUUGAUAAGCAUGUUCAACAACUAGAUAAAAAGAUUCAAAAUUAAAUUUUAAUAUCAAGAGGCAUCAAAAUUCCAAUAUUGCCCUUUUAAUAUAUUUCACUUAAACCUCAAUAAUAUUGUAAUUUGUUACUCAUUUUUCUAUGCUCAUUAUUACCUGCCAUCAAAAUUACAAUAUUGCCCCUUGUCAUGGUAUUUUAAAACUUCUCUCUCCUUUGCAUUUGUUACUUUCCUCUGGUAAAUCAUAUUAACAUUCUAUGCUAUAAACUGACUAAUAAAUUGAAAUCAGAAAAACAGGAACAAAUAUAUCUAUAUUGUUUUUGUUAUCUUGUAUUUAUUCUUAUGGAAUUUUCGUUGUUUGAUUACACUUUUUUGGUAUGAGUUUUUUAUUCUUAUGGAUUUUUAAUUGUUCGUUGUUUAAUUCUUUCAUGGUUUCUUGAAUUUCCAAAGCCUUUUCAAGGUUGUAUAUGAGGAAAGAUAUCUUUAACAUAUCUUUACCCUCAUCGUUUUCUAUGAUCAUUUUUAUGCUCAUUUUCUUAUCAACGGGUUUGAGGUAGAAAGAAAAACUAGAAAAAGAAGUGUUGGUAAACCCAAAACGAAACAUCUUGAAGCAAGAUUUCCUGUUAUGGAGGCUUUGCAUAAAUGUUUUUGUAAGGCAUACAAUGAAUCAGCCACACAGGGGAAAGAGAGGUUAGAGGUGUGACAUUAACAAAUUUAAGAAUGUUUUUAUGUUUAAUGAACUAAGUUCAUUGUAAUUUUUUUUCUGUUUCUGAAAAUGAAAACAUGAUCAAUGAUGUCCCACUUCUUAUGGUUGGAAUGGAAUCAUAUAGUAGGUUUGUAUUUUGUAAAGAUUGAUCCUGCACAUGGUAAUCAUA
Long non-coding RNA from Lactuca sativa (garden lettuce), 1504 nucleotides. RefSeq lists it as uncharacterized. NCBI's taxonomy places the organism in Eukaryota, Viridiplantae, Streptophyta, Magnoliopsida, Asterales, Asteraceae. The record is from RefSeq and is a predicted model, not a curated record.